UACGGGGGGGGCUAGCGUUGUUCGGAAUUACUGGGCGUAAAGGGCUCGUAGGCGGCCAUCUCAGUCAGACGUGAAAUCCCUCGGCUCAACCGGGGAACUGCGUCUGAUACUGGAUGGCUCGAAUCCGGGAGAGGGAUGCGGAAUUCCAGGUGUAGCGGUGAAAUGCGUAGAUAUCUGGAGGAACACCGGUGGCGAAGGCGGCAUCCUGGACCGGUAUUGACGCUGAGGAGCGAAAGCCAGGGGAGCAAAC
Molecule: ribosomal RNA, 250 nt
Filed under: uncultured bacterium
Lineage: Bacteria
Description: partial 16S ribosomal RNA
Rfam family: Bacterial small subunit ribosomal RNA
Source: RNAcentral